Molecule: ribosomal RNA, 775 nt
Filed under: uncultured bacterium
Lineage: Bacteria
Description: bacterial SSU rRNA
Rfam family: Bacterial small subunit ribosomal RNA
Source: RNAcentral
UAGCAAUAGGUUGAUGGCGACCGGCGCACGGGUGAGUAACACGUAUCCAACCUACCGGUUAUUCCGGGAUAGCCUUUCGAAAGAAAGAUUAAUACCGGAUAGUAUAACGAGAAGGCAUCUUCUUGUUAUUAAAGAAUUUCGAUAACCGAUGGGGAUGCGUUCCAUUAGUUUGUUGGCGGGGUAACGGCCCACCAAGACAUCGAUGGAUAGGGGUUCUGAGAGGAAGGUCCCCCACAUUGGAACUGAGACACGGUCCAAACUCCUACGGGAGGCAGCAGUGAGGAAUAUUGGUCAAUGGACGAGAGUCUGAACCAGCCAAGUAGCGUGAAGGAUGACUGCCCUAUGGGUUGUAAACUUCUUUUAUAUGGGAAUAAAGUGAGCCACGUGUGGCUUUUUGUAUGUACCAUACGAAUAAGGAUCGGCUAACUCCGUGCCAGCAGCCGCGGUAAUACGGAGGAUCCGAGCGUUAUCCGGAUUUAUUGGGUUUAAAGGGAGCGUAGGCGGACUAUUAAGUCAGCUGUGAAAGUUUGCGGCUCAACCGUAAAAUUGCAGUUGAUACUGGUCGUCUUGAGUGCAGUAGAGGUAGGCGGAAUUCGUGGUGUAGCGGUGAAAUGCUUAGAUAUCACGAAGAACUCCGAUUGCGAAGGCAGCUUACUGGACUGUAACUGACGCUGAUGCUCGAAAGUGUGGGUAUCAAACAGGAUUAGAUACCCUGGUAGUCCACACAGUAAACGAUGAAUACUCGCUGUUUGCGAUAUACAGCAAGCGGCCAAGC